This 385-nucleotide ribosomal RNA is filed under the name uncultured bacterium. Its description in RNAcentral is "bacterial SSU rRNA". It matches the Rfam family "Bacterial small subunit ribosomal RNA", at positions 28 to 414 of the family's 1533-position model. The record is from RNAcentral.
GACGAACGCUGGCGGCGUGCUUAACACAUGCAAGUCGAGCGGUAAGGCCCUUUCGGGGGUACACGAGCGGCGAACGGGUGAGUAACACGUGGGUGACCUGCCCUCAGCUCUGGGAUAAGCCUGGGAAACUGGGUCUAAUACUGGAUAUGACUCCACGGUGCAUGUCGUGGGGUGGAAAGCCUUGUGCGGCUGAGGAUGGGCCCGCGGCCUAUCAGCUUGUUGGUGGGGUGAGGGCCUACCAAGGCGACGACGGGUAGCCGGCCUGAGAGGGCGACCGGCCACACUGGGACUGAGACACGGCCCAGACUCCUACGGGAGGCAGCAGUGGGGAAUCUUGCGCAAUGGGCGAAAGCCUGACGCAGCGACGCCGCGUGAGGGAUGACGG